CUGGCGCGUGGCGACGGCGGACGAGCCGAGGAUGUCUGAUAUGCUCGUCAUAUCCUCAUUUCCUCUCCUUCAUCGCUAAUAGUCAAGGGUUCAGCCUGAGACCACAGCCUCCAAGCCUAGGACUCGGAGUUGAACGAGCUUGCGGCGGCCGAGGAGGAAUCGGACGAUGUUGCUGGUGGAAACCUCAUGCGGAGCAAGGCUUCACCGACUAACUCCCAUUUCUACCUCUUUGCUAUGGAGACCGGUUCGAAUUCCACUAAGAAAUCGACCAGAGGAAGGCUGAAGAAGGUUAUCGAUCUGGCGGAGGAUGUUACUGAGGUUUCGGAGUUGAACGAGGUUGUGGCGGCCAAGGAGGAAUUGGACAAUGUUGCUGGUGGAAACCUCAUGUGGAGCAAGGCUUCACUGCCUGAGCGGAAACGGAUCUGGAAGAGGAAGCGAAGCAGCGUUGGCCUCACCGCUACCAGAAGGGCACAGAAAUCAAAUGGUGGAAUUAGGAGUAUAACUAAGUAAAUUUCCUCUGCUGCCAAGAUGAAUCUGGUGGGGUACUUCAGGCUAAGAGACAUUUUACAGCAGCAAAAGUUGAUGGCCUGGUUUAUAAGCUUGGGGGUGAUGCUUAUGUUAAGAUGGCCCUCCCCGGAUCCUCCCAAUGAUGGCGCUUAGAGGAGAUGAAUUAUUGUUGCACCAAUUGUUGAAAUGGGGCCUUCACCCAA
Ipomoea nil (Japanese morning glory) is the source of this 710-nucleotide RNA transcript. RefSeq lists it as uncharacterized. NCBI's taxonomy places the organism in Eukaryota, Viridiplantae, Streptophyta, Magnoliopsida, Solanales, Convolvulaceae. The record is from RefSeq and is a predicted model, not a curated record. The transcript has 5 exons.